UGGGGAAUCUUGGACAAUGGGGGCAACCCUGAUCCAGCCAUGCCGCGUGAGUGAUGAAGGCCUUAGGGUCGUAAAGCUCUUUCGCCUGUGAAGAUAAUGACGGUAGCAGGUAAAGAAACCCCGGCUAACUCCGUGCCAGCAGCCGCGGUAAUACGGAGGGGGCAAGCGUUAUUCGGAAUUACUGGGCGUAAAGCGCACGUAGGCGGACCAGAAAGUUGGGGUGAAAUCCCGGGGCUCGAACCCCGGAACUGCCUCCAAAACUAUUGGUCUAGAGUUCGAGAGAGGUGAGUGGAAUUCCAAGUGUAGAGGUGAAAUUCGUAGAUAUUUGGAGGAACACCAGUGGCGAAGGCGGCUCACUGGCUCGAUACUGACGCUGAGGUGCGAAAGUGUGGGGAGCAAACAGGAUUAGAU
This 411-nucleotide ribosomal RNA is filed under the name uncultured bacterium. RNAcentral describes it as "bacterial SSU rRNA". It matches the Rfam family "Bacterial small subunit ribosomal RNA", at positions 355 to 783 of the family's 1533-position model. The record is from RNAcentral.